Molecule: long non-coding RNA, 505 nt
Filed under: Brassica napus (rape)
Lineage: Eukaryota; Viridiplantae; Streptophyta; Magnoliopsida; Brassicales; Brassicaceae
Description: long non-coding RNA (BNAP_LNC017220)
Source: RNAcentral
UUCCUAAUGAUGAAUAUGUUUCAGAAGAUGAAUUAGACGAGGCUUGUACUGAUUCGGAUUCGGAAUCUGAUUCAAGUUCUUAGUAAGUUUGUUGUUUAUGAAGUUUUUUAAAAUUGUAAUAUAAAUAAGUAAUCACUUAGUAAUGUGUAGUUUAUGAAGUUUAAAAAAUUUGUAAUAUAAAUAAGUAGUUUAUGAAGUUCUUAAAUUUGUAAUAUAUAAUAAAUUUAUAAUUUAUGAAGUUUAAAAUUUGGAAAUAUAAAAUAACUAGAUUUCUUAGUUUUAAAAUGUGAAUAUAUUUAAGUUUUUUAGUUUCUUAUAUUCUUAAAUUCUAAUUAAUAGUUUUGAGAUUUCAUAAAAAAAUACAUUUUUUUCUAAAACCUAACUAAACCCUAAACCCUAUCUAUACCCUAAACCUAUUUCCCACCACAUAAUAAACCCAAAAAAUUUCCCUCCUAAACCCAAAACCCAUUUCCCUCUAAACCAAAGCCCAAUUUCUAUACUUAGC